UACCAGCACCCCGAGUGGUCGGGACGAUUAUUGGGCCUAAAGCAUCCGUAGCCGGCCUUACAAGUCCCCCGUUAAAUCCAACUGCUUAACAGAUGGGCUGCGGAGGAUACUAUAAGACUAGGAGGCAGGAGAGGCAAGCGGUACUCAGUGGGUAGGGGUAAAAUCCAUUGAUCCAUUGAAGACCACCAGUGGCGAAGGCGGCUUGCCAGAAUGCGCUCGACGGUGAGGGAUGAAAGCUGGGGGAGCAAACCGG
Molecule: ribosomal RNA, 253 nt
Filed under: uncultured bacterium
Lineage: Bacteria
Description: partial 16S ribosomal RNA
Rfam family: Archaeal small subunit ribosomal RNA
Source: RNAcentral